AGCAGCCGCCGCGGUAAUACGUAGGUGGCAAGCGUUGUCCGGAAUUAUUGGGCGUAAAGGGCUCGCAGGCGGUUUCUUAAGUCUGAUGUGAAAGCCCCCGGCUCAACCGGGGAGGGUCAUUGGAAACUGGGAAACUUGAGUGCAGAAGAGGAGAGCGGAAUUCCACGUGUAGCGGUGAAAUGCGUAGAGAUGUGGAGGAACACCAGUGGCGAAGGCGACUCUCUGGUCUGUAACUGACGCUGAGGAGCGAAAGCGUGGGGAGCGAACAGGAUUAGAUACCCCUGUAGUCCCUGUCUCUUAUAC
This 303-nucleotide ribosomal RNA is filed under the name uncultured bacterium. Its description in RNAcentral is "partial 16S ribosomal RNA". It matches the Rfam family "Bacterial small subunit ribosomal RNA", at positions 507 to 807 of the family's 1533-position model. The record is from RNAcentral.